CCUACGGGUGGCAGCAGUGGGGAAUAUUGCACAAUGGGGGAAACCCUGAUGCAGCGACGCCGCGUGAGUGAAGAAGUACUUCGUUAUGUAAAGCUCUAUCAGUAGGGAAGAAAAUGACGGUACCUGAGUAUGAAGCCACGGCUAACUACGUGCCAGCAGCCGCGGCAAUAUGUAGGGGGCAAGCGUUAUCCGGAGUUACUGGGUGUAAAGGGAGCGUAGACGGGAGUGCAAGUCUGGAGGGAAAGGCGGGGGCUCAACCCCCAGACUGCUGUGGAAACUGUAAGGCUGGAGUGCAGGAGAGGUAAGUGGAAUUCCUAGUGUAGCGGUGAAAUGCGUAGAUAUUAGGAGGAACCCCAAUGGCGAAGGCAGCUUACUGGACUGUAACUGACGUUGAGGCUCGAAAGCGUGGGGAGCAAACAGGAUUAGAUACCCCAGUAGUC
This 440-nucleotide ribosomal RNA is filed under the name uncultured bacterium. RNAcentral's name for it is "partial 16S ribosomal RNA". It matches the Rfam family "Bacterial small subunit ribosomal RNA", at positions 338 to 795 of the family's 1533-position model. The record is from RNAcentral.